RNAcentral lists this transfer RNA (75 nucleotides) under Desulfobacter sp. RNAcentral's name for it is "tRNA-Arg". It matches the Rfam family "tRNA". From Rfam's summary of the family: Transfer RNA (tRNA) molecules are approximately 80 nucleotides in length. Their secondary structure includes four short double-helical elements and three loops (D, anti-codon, and T loops). RNAcentral also lists the same sequence under 2 other names. Lineage: Bacteria; Pseudomonadati; Thermodesulfobacteriota; Desulfobacteria; Desulfobacterales; Desulfobacteraceae. The record is from RNAcentral.
GCCCCCGUAGCUCAGUGGAUAGAGCAUAGGAUUCCUAAUCCUUGAGCGCAGGUUCGAUUCCUGCCGGGGGUACCA